This 253-nucleotide ribosomal RNA is filed under the name uncultured bacterium. RNAcentral describes it as "partial 16S ribosomal RNA". It matches the Rfam family "Bacterial small subunit ribosomal RNA", at positions 524 to 776 of the family's 1533-position model. The record is from RNAcentral.
UACGGAGGGUGCAAGCGUUGCUCGGAAUGACUGGGCGUAAAGGGCGCGUAGGCGGCAUGGUUAGUUAGGCGUGAAAUUCCCGGGCUCAACCUGGGGACUGCGUUUGAUACGUGCAGGCUAGAGUGGGGAAGAGGGUCGUGGAAUUCCCAGUGUAGAGGUGAAAUUCGUAGAUAUUGGGAAGAACACCGGUGGCGAAGGCGGCGACCUGGUCCUUUACUGACGCUGAGGCGCGAAAGCGUGGGGAGCAAACAGG